Molecule: ribosomal RNA, 454 nt
Filed under: uncultured bacterium
Lineage: Bacteria
Description: bacterial SSU rRNA
Rfam family: Bacterial small subunit ribosomal RNA
Source: RNAcentral
GGGCCCGCACAAGCAGCGGAGCGUGUGGUUUAAUUCGAUGCAACGCGAAGAACCUUACCAAGGCUUGACAUGCUAGAAGUAGAAACUUGAAAGAGGAACCACCUGUAUCCAGUCAGGAGCUAGCACAGGUGCUGCAUGGCUGUCGUCAGCUCGUGCCGUGAGGUGUUAGGUUAAGUCCUGCAACGAGCGCAACCCUCAUUGCUAGUUGAAUUCUCUAGCGAUACUGCCCGUAUAACGUGGAGGAAGGUGAGGAUGACGUCAAGUCAGCAUGGCCCUUACGCCUUGGGCUACACACACGCUACAAUGGAUGAUACAGAGGGUCGCUAAGAAGCGAUUCGGAGCUAAUCCUUAAAAUCAUCCUCAGUUCAGAUUGUAGACUGAAACUGUCUACAUGAAGUAGGAGUUGCUAGUAACCGCAGGUCAGCACACUGCGGUGAAUACGUUCUCGGGCCUU